Molecule: long non-coding RNA, 2384 nt
Filed under: Bemisia tabaci
Lineage: Eukaryota; Metazoa; Arthropoda; Insecta; Hemiptera; Aleyrodidae
Description: lncRNA ENSSSA3NGG008684
Source: RNAcentral
AUGAAGAAAUCACAUGUAAGCGUUGCCGAUGCCAUCCAAAUGAUGCGGAACAACACCAAACACCUAGGGUGUUGUACGCGAGUACAUCCUUUGUCCGACUGCGGCUUCAAGGGCGGCCGAUUGAUUUGCCCAACGAGAAAAGGUUUACAGGGACGCACGGUCUCGCCGCUGCCACGGAAAAAGCCCUCAGACAGGUCGAACGCCUUCACGAUGAGAUCAACUUCCUUCACCAAUACGCACUCAAGAGUGAGGAACGUGAUACGAUCAUUCCCGGUGACGUCAUCGUCGAGAAGAGAGAAAUUCGCAGCUCGAAAAUUCCUACGAUAUUGAUAGUAUCUGUUCUGGUUGUAGUUGUGGUGAAUAAUUGUUUCUUCAAAUUUCCAACGCUGACUUUCGAAUUUUGACCAGAGCUUCAGUUGCUUUGUUUCUUCCUUCAUAAUAUUUGUUUUCGCUCGGAUAUGCUCCUGUACUUUUACCUCCAGUCUGCUUCAGAACAGCGUAAUAUGUCAAGAAUAGCUGAUAGUGCUUAAAUCGUAAAAAUAUUGCUCUAAAUUCUAGGCAAACGAGGUAUUAUAGGGAAUGAGAUGCAAACAUUGUUUCGAAUAUUUACGCGCAGGAUUAAAAAAAGUUAGCCAAAUGGCCCCUCCAUGAAAAGCAACGGAAUGUAUAUCGAUGGCUAAAAGAUGAAACCACGUAUCUCCAGUGCGGUGUUUCAAAAUUGCCGCUCCUAUUUUAUUUUUUCAAAGAAGGACAAGCGAACUUUAUGGCUUGAAAUUUAUACAGAAUAUUUUGCCAACAGAGAGGAAAUAUCAAGAAAAUUUUUGAGAAAUUACGUUGAUUAGUUUUCCGAGAAAAAAUGAAGUAUGACCGGAAGUCUGCUACGUUGCAAACGGAGGUACGUGGUUUUGUACUUUGGCCAUCAACAUGCUGUUUUCUUGCAUUUUAGAAAGUUUAAAGACCUAUGCUGUUUUCCUGUAGUGAAAAACAAAGACGUUUGACUUAAGGUCCAGUUACACGAUCAAAUUGAGCCAUCAAAUUGGGCAUCUCAUUGGCCGCAUCCUCACCUCAGGUCUUUUUCCACCAAUCAGAGCUUCAGUUUGAUGGCUCAAUUUGAUCGUGUAACCAAACCUGUAGGUACAAGGGUGCUCCGUGCGGCUUCGUCCAUCAGAGGCGGAUCCAUGCAAUUUGGCAACACCGGAUUCCCUCCAUCUAAACCCAUGCUAAAUAAUCGAUUUCUUUCGGAGCACCUGGCCCCUCCGAGCAUCGAUACAUUUCCAUAGGUUUAAAUGGAGAUAAGACAAUGUUGCCAAUUCGCUGGAUCCACCAAUGUCGUCCAUCAUUUCACAAAAUUUAAGACGUAACAAUGUCACCCUCAGCGGUCACAUAUUUUCCUCCGGUAUCUGUCCAGUGUAAGAAAGUCUCCUCUUGCUAGAACUGAAUUUUUGUACGCAUGUUGUUUUUAUAUUUUGUAUUUAUCUGUACAUAAAUAUAUCUGAUCAAGUGAUAGUAAACGGUUACUUCCUCGGAAUUUUGUCUCUUCUAUUCAACAUUUUUGUCUAUUCCAAAUUUUAAAUUUCAUCCGGCCAGAGUUUAUAGUUGCAGAUCAAAUCGCCUAAGGGUCCGUCGAACUUUAUAGCCACUUGAGUGUUUUUGUUUCUUCAGUGUAACCAGCGCUCAUCUCUCGUAGGAAACUUGCCUUUUCGGCAGGGUAGUAUCCUAUGAAGCCCAGUGCAUCAAAAAUAUAUGUAAAAAAAGAGGCAGCAAUUCAAUGUAAUGCAAUUGAAAUUUUUUCCCCAUAAAAUCACAAUUUUAUAGACAUUAAUUUGUCCACGAAGGCCAAUUUUGAGCGAUCUAUAAAAUGAAUUUCAAAGUAUACGCCAUUUGCAAUGCAGAAACAAAAUUGCAACUAAUUACAAUUUUACUGCAAUCGAUCCAAUAAAUAGAGCCCCUGCAAUUAGUAGACGAGCAACAUUCACUACACAUCGACACACCAGCAAACAUUUGACCCUGUAAUUGCAAGUUAUUGUAGCCCGGGUCACUCGAUAUACGCUAUCAGGUGAUUGGACGGUCUAUUUACGAUAUAAUCAGUCCGGCCCGAGCCAUGUAACAGAUCUAUCUUGAUCAUUUUAGCCUUAUUUUCCUUUUUUCUAAAAUUCGGCUGAUGAUGGGAGCUGUUCAGCCCCGAAACGUUCCGUAAUAUAUUUUAAACUUGUUUUUAGCCUUGAGCCUGGACAUAUUUUGUGUUUCUUAUAAACACAAAAUAUUCUAUAUUUCUAUAUUUAUAUUCUAUAUUCUUUAUAUUCGGGCUACGAAAAUGUAUCUCAUCAUAUAAAUUGAAGUAGAGGUGGUAAUAUGGCUAGUGACCUUUCACAAGGGGCUAAUAC